UCGACUCCUCCCCUCCCCCAAGCUCAUCACCAGGGAGCCGCCGCCGCCGGUGGUACAGGGGCCGCGCGAGGGAGGCCAAGCGCCGCCGAGCAAGAGCUGCUCCUCAUGACCAACUCCGCCACCGCUCGUCGACGAAGCAGGAGCCAUGAUGCCACCCCGCCACCGGUCUGCUUCAUGCUCCUGCACGCCACGCGCUGAGGGUCUCCGCCGCCGCACGCCACGCACUCGAUUCUUUGUCGGUUCCUUCAUCAGUUCGUCGGGUACCCAGCAGGUAUGUUCACCCCUUCUCUUCCCUUUACUUCUCUUUUGGACGGAUCUUGUUGCAAAGCACUACCCAGUUUUAAUUUGACUUGUCUGUGACAAAUUUUGAAAAACUAGAUGUGUAGCUGGUGUCCUGCAUCAUUUUCUAAAGUGCGGCAUAAUGGGAUGCCUACUUCAAUUCUGCGCUGUAACAAUAGCUUCCCUGUCUUGUGGGAAUGCUAGCUUCAGUUUUUAAGUCUUGUCUAAGGUCUGAGUGUUGUAAAAAAAAUUGUUUUAGUUCAGAGCAUCAGCAGCCCGUUAUCAUCAAUAACUUUUGUUAUUUGUCUAUGUUUUUAUUGUCUUCAGCUGAUCACAAAUCUUUAUGAAUAGAAGUACUGGUAGUCAGUAGUCUACAUUUGCCAUUUAAAUCUGAGGUGAUAGUAUUGAAACUGAUUCAAUGACCUUCCUGGAAAUCUUCACGCCCUGCUAUUGAAUCUACUGCUGCAGUUUUCUAUGCAGUGCCCAAAUAUCUUCAUUUCUGCCUCUGUAGCGAUAUGAUUGUUUACAUUCUCCAUUUGUCUGGCUCUAUUGUACUGCAACAAUUUUACAUUCUACUUCUCUCUUGCUCCAUUGUACUAAAACAUUGAGGCUUGUCUGAUGUGCAUAGAAGAGACUGGGACAGGGAAUACAGGGUAAGAAAGGCACAUGCCUGAAACUCUCCAAAUCUGAUUUGCUUCAUUAAUCGUUUGUACAUGUCAACUCUCCUAAUCUGAUUCUGGCAUGACUUAAUCCUCAAGGAAUAAUAAAUAUCUUGUGAAAAUUUUUGUUUGUUAUAUUAAUAUAACAUCAUUUGUAAAAAAAGACUGUAGAGUAUAUAAGGAUGAUUUUGUGUAGAUCCCAUUCAGAUGAAAUAUGUAUUUAGCACGGCCAAAAAUUUUAGCAGAUGCCUCUUGUUUACCUUUGAGUGUGAUCUAACAGUUGUAAUAGGAGCAUAAUGCUUUUUAACAAAUUUAACUGAAUAGCUAAUGUCAAAAUGGAGCACUACAGCCACAUAGGGUCAUUAUUCUUACAAGAAAGGACCUAGAUUCAGCAUUCAAAGUAGACAUAUUUAACACAGUCAUUUGUUGGCAUAUAAAUCAUAAAACUAGAUUUACAGAAAAUAACAUAUAGUUCAUCAAAUUAUUUCAGUUAAUGAGCCUUUCAUAGUAUAUUCAUUAGUAUACUGUCACUGAUUGCUGACAGGGUGCAGGCCUUCUGUGUGCUUUGAUCUGCUUUGCUCUUAAUGUUCAUAGCCCUGUGCUCCUCAUCCACCCCACCUUGGUGGCAUUUGGAUAGGUAGAUCGAAAGGGAUCAGGAUAUGUACCCAGUGAGAAUUAUCAUGGAGUGCACAGAGCUAUAUGUUUGGUUGUUUACAAGUGGCCAAAUAGGCUUGCUCAACACGGGAUUGACUUAUUUAUCCUCCUGAAAUGUAAGUAGCAUUCCAGUUUGUGGCCAUCAUGCAAGUACAUAUGCAUCGGUUUUCAGUUCAACCAUCUAACUGCUUUAAAACUUAGUGCUGAUCAUAGAUGCAGCGAAAUGGUUUCUAUUCAGGGCUCAUAUACUAUAUUUGUUUCAUAAACUUAAUUAUUAUUGCAGGACUACUACAAAGUUCUAGAGGUUGACUAUGACGCAUCUUACAAUACCAUCAAAUCAAGUUAUCGAAAAAUACUUUUGGUAAGAUGUUGUACAACCUCCCCUCAUCAAGCUAGAAGAUAAUUAUGUGCACACCUGACGAUGUUCUACCUUUUCUGAAUCGCAUGGCAUUGAGCGGUUGACGCAGUUGUAACUUGUAAGUAUCUAAUUAUAAAGAGCCAGAGGUUUUCUACCCAUCUCAAUGUCCCCAAGUGCACUACCUAUGUU
This 2139-nucleotide long non-coding RNA is filed under the name Sorghum bicolor (sorghum). RNAcentral describes it as "long non-coding RNA (SBIC_LNC018689)". Lineage: Eukaryota; Viridiplantae; Streptophyta; Magnoliopsida; Poales; Poaceae. The record is from RNAcentral.